GAGUUUGAUCGUGGCUCAGGAUGAACGCUAGCGGCAGGCCUAAUACAUGCAAGACGAGCGGUAAGAGGAGUAGCAAUACUUUUCCUAGAGCGUCGUAAGGGUGCGUAACGAGUAUGCAAUCUGCCCUCAACAGGAGAAUAGCUCCCCGAAAGGGGAAUUAACACUCCGUAAUGUUUAUGAGUGGCAUCACUUAUAAAUUAAAACUCCGGUGGUUGAGGAUGAGCAUGCUUCUGAUUAGCUAGUUGGUAGUGUAACGGACUACCAAGGCGAUGAUCAGUAGGGGAACUGAGAGGUUGAUCCCCCACACUGGCACUGAGAUACGGGCCAGACUCCUACGGGAGGCAGCAGUAGGGAAUAUUGGUCAAUGGUUGCAAGACUGAACCAGCCAUGCCGCGUGC
RNAcentral lists this ribosomal RNA (398 nucleotides) under uncultured Sphingobacterium sp. RNAcentral's name for it is "bacterial SSU rRNA". It matches the Rfam family "Bacterial small subunit ribosomal RNA", at positions 9 to 404 of the family's 1533-position model. Lineage: Bacteria; Pseudomonadati; Bacteroidota; Sphingobacteriia; Sphingobacteriales; Sphingobacteriaceae. The record is from RNAcentral.